GUGGGAUUAUACUGGGAACGUUGUUGUUGUUGCAUCUGCUUUGCGCCAGAGAAUGAUGAAAAAUUUGAUAUCCCAUCAGUAAAGGAUAAAUUUUUAUGUUUAAUCUGGCGUGAUGUAUUCUUUUCCUUUUUGCUCUAUCAUGAUGGUUGGAGGAAUGUCUUAAAUUAAGUCUGGCCUUGUAUGUCUUCUUUCUUCCAACCCCCCAACCCCCCACCCCUCUUUAUUUUUUGGUGUUAUCAAGAUGGAUUGUUAGCUGCUUGUUUUAUUAAUUAUCAUGUAGGUGCAAGAUGGUGUUCAGGUGAUAAGAGAUAAACAGGAAAUAAUGGAUGC
This 330-nucleotide long non-coding RNA is filed under the name Nicotiana benthamiana. RNAcentral's name for it is "long non-coding RNA (NBEN_LNC001905)". Lineage: Eukaryota; Viridiplantae; Streptophyta; Magnoliopsida; Solanales; Solanaceae. The record is from RNAcentral.